UUUUUUGCUGCAUAGAUUACAACGGUGAUGGCGGGCAAGCGGUCCGGCUGGAGCCGGGCGGCUCUCCUCCAGCUCCUUCUCGGCGUGAACCUGGUGGUGAUGCCGCCCACCCAGGCCCGGAGUCUGCGCUUCGUUACCUUGCUGUACCGCCAUGGAGACCGUUCACCAGUGAAGACAUAUCCCAAGGACCCCUAUCAGGAAGAAGAAUGGCCCCAGGGGUUUGGUCAGUUAACCAAGGAGGGGAUGCUACAGCACUGGGAGCUGGGCCAGGCCCUGCGGCAGCGCUAUCAUGGCUUCCUAAACACCUCUUAUCACCGGCAAGAGGUUUAUGUGCGAAGCACAGACUUUGACCGGACUCUCAUGAGUGCUGAGGCCAACCUGGCUGGACUCUUCCCUCCCAACGGGAUGCAGCGCUUCAACCCGAACAUCUCGUGGCAGCCUAUCCCUGUGCACACUGUGCCCAUCACUGAGGACAGGGUGAGAGUGGCCAGCCCUUCCCUGGGGUGGUGAGGUGACAGCUCUGGCCGUGGGCCUGCUGAUGGCAGGCUCCUUUUCCUGCUGCCUGUUUCCCCGCUUUGCUCUACAGCUGCUGAAGUUCCCGCUGGGCCCAUGCCCCCGUUAUGAGCAGCUGCAGAACGAG
Molecule: small RNA, 640 nt
Filed under: Pongo abelii (Sumatran orangutan)
Lineage: Eukaryota; Metazoa; Chordata; Mammalia; Primates; Hominidae
Description: retained intron
Source: RNAcentral